Molecule: ribosomal RNA, 141 nt
Filed under: Lepiota parvannulata
Lineage: Eukaryota; Fungi; Basidiomycota; Agaricomycetes; Agaricales; Agaricaceae
Description: partial 28S ribosomal RNA
Rfam family: Eukaryotic large subunit ribosomal RNA
Source: RNAcentral
UGACCUCAAAUCAGGUAGGACUACCCGCUGAACUUAAGCAUAUCAAUAAGCGGAGGAAAAGAAACUAACAAGGAUUCCCCUAGUAACUGCGAGUGAAGCGGGAAAAGCUCAAAUUUAAAAUCUGGCGGUCUUUGGUCGUCC